AUGUAGAAGAAAACUAGUAGAAAAGGA
This 27-nucleotide non-coding RNA is filed under the name Cricetulus griseus (Chinese hamster). The record is from RNAcentral. Lineage: Eukaryota; Metazoa; Chordata; Mammalia; Rodentia; Cricetidae.